CUGGUAAGUUCCUCCCCAAGAGCUCCUAUUUCUUGCCCCAGCAUUGUUUUCUCAUCCUGCAAUCGAUCAGCCAAAGAUCUUAAGUCUUCAGUAGUCUUCUCUAUCUCUUCAAUUCUUCUCACAGCAGUCUCUUUCUCCAUGAGCAGGUUGGCUUUCUCUCUAGUCAUAUCUUCCAAUCUUGAAUUCUGUACCGAAACUGAUGAGGUAAGAGAUUUAUUUUCUUCCUCAUAAUGUGUCAAUUUUUGGCUUAAAUCUGAAACUUGCAGCUCUGCACAUUCUAAUUGCUGCUUCAAACUGGUGACUUCUGCUCUAAAACUUUCUAGCUCUUGCCCAAGAACUACCUUUUCUUUGUCAGCAACUUCCAAAGUGUGAUUAAGUUCUGAUACCAUCUUCUCUGUAGAUCCCAGUUGCUGCUGCCUGCUUGUAAGUUCCUCUCUAAGGGUUUCUAUUUCUUGCCUGAGCAUUGUUUUCUCAUCCUGCAAUUGAUCAGCCAAAGUUCUUAAGUCUUCAAUAGUCCUCUCUAUCUCUUCAAUUCUUCUCACAGCAGUCUCUUUCUCCAUGAGCAGGUUGUUUUUCUCUCUAGCCAUAUCUUCCAAUCUUGAAUUCUGUACCAAAACUGAAGAGGUAAGAGAUUUAUUUUCUUCCUCAGAAUGUGUCAAUUUUUGGCUUAUAUCUGACACUUGCAGCUCUGCAGAUUCUAGUUGCUGCUUCAUACUGGCGAUUU
Molecule: long non-coding RNA, 724 nt
Filed under: Manihot esculenta (cassava)
Lineage: Eukaryota; Viridiplantae; Streptophyta; Magnoliopsida; Malpighiales; Euphorbiaceae
Description: long non-coding RNA (MESC_LNC000741)
Source: RNAcentral